RNAcentral lists this ribosomal RNA (808 nucleotides) under Serratia liquefaciens. RNAcentral's name for it is "partial 23S ribosomal RNA". It matches the Rfam family "Bacterial large subunit ribosomal RNA", at positions 718 to 1527 of the family's 2925-position model. The record is from RNAcentral. Lineage: Bacteria; Pseudomonadati; Pseudomonadota; Gammaproteobacteria; Enterobacterales; Yersiniaceae.
AAACCCGGUGAUCUAGCCAUGGGCAGGUUGAAGGUUGGGUAACACUAACUGGAGGACCGAACCGACUAAUGUUGAAAAAUUAGCGGAUGACUUGUGGCUGGGGGUGAAAGGCCAAUCAAACCGGGAGAUAGCUGGUUCUCCCCGAAAGCUAUUUAGGUAGCGCCUCGUGAACUCAUCUUCGGGGGUAGAGCACUGUUUCGGCUAGGGGGCCAUCCCGGCUUACCAAACCGAUGCAAACUCCGAAUACCGAAGAAUGUUAUCACGGGAGACACACGGCGGGUGCUAACGUCCGUCGUGAAGAGGGAAACAACCCAGACCGCCAGCUAAGGUCCCAAAGUCAUGGUUAAGUGGGAAACGAUGUGGGAAGGCAUAGACAGCCAGGAUGUUGGCUUAGAAGCAGCCAUCAUUUAAAGAAAGCGUAAUAGCUCACUGGUCGAGUCGGCCUGCGCGGAAGAUGUAACGGGGCUAAACCAUGCACCGAAGCUGCGGCAGCGACGCUUAGGCGUUGUUGGGUAGGGGAGCGUUCUGUAAGCCGUUGAAGGUGACCUGUGAGGGUUGCUGGAGGUAUCAGAAGUGCGAAUGCUGACAUAAGUAACGAUAAAGCGGGUGAAAAGCCCGCUCGCCGGAAGACCAAGGGUUCCUGUCCAACGUUAAUCGGGGCAGGGUGAGUCGACCCCUAAGGCGAGGCCGAAAGGCGUAGUCGAUGGGAAACAGGUUAAUAUUCCUGUACUCGGUGUUACUGCGAAGGGGGGACGGAGAAGGCUAGGCUAGCCGGGCGACGGUUGUCCCGGUUUAAGCGUGUAGGGGG